UGAGUAAUGUCUGGGAAACUGCCUGAUGGAGGGGGAUAACUACUGGAAACGGUAGCUAAUACCGCAUAACGUCGCAAGACCAAAGAGGGGGACCUUCGGGCCUCUUGCCAUCAGAUGUGCCCAGAUGGGAUUAGCUAGUAGGUGGGGUAAUGGCUCACCUAGGCGACGAUCCCUAGCUGGUCUGAGAGGAUGACCAGCCACACUGGAACUGAGACACGGUCCAGACUCCUACGGGAGGCAGCAGUGGGGAAUAUUGCACAAUGGGCGCAAGCCUGAUGCAGCCAUGCCGCGUGUGUGAAGAAGGCCUUCGGGUUGUAAAGCACUUUCAGCGAGGAGGAAGGUGGUGAACUUAAUACGUUCAUCAAUUGACGUUACUCGCAGAAGAAGCACCGGCUAACUCCGUGCCAGCAGCCGCGGUAAUACGGAGGGUGCAAGCGUUAAUCGGGAUUACUGGGCGUAAAGCGCACGCAGGCGGUUUGUUAAGUCAGAUGUGAAAUCCCCGGG
RNAcentral lists this ribosomal RNA (504 nucleotides) under uncultured bacterium. RNAcentral describes it as "bacterial SSU rRNA". It matches the Rfam family "Bacterial small subunit ribosomal RNA", at positions 107 to 607 of the family's 1533-position model. The record is from RNAcentral.